UGUCUAAGUACAAACUAUAUUAAAGUGAAACCGCGAAAGGCUCAUUANNNNNNNNAGGGUUCCUUAGAUCGUACCACAAUUACUUGGAUAACUGUGGUAAUUCUAGAGCUAAUACAUGCAAACAGAGCUCUGACCGGAGACGGAAGGAGUGCUUUUAUUAGAUCAAAACCAAUCGGCGGCAGUAGCAUUUCGGUGUUACUGUUCGUCGCUCAAUAUAUGGUGAAUCUGAAUAACUUUAUGCUGAUCGCAUGGUCUUGUACCGGCGACGCAUCUUUCAAAUGUCUGCCUUAUCAACUGUCGAUGGUAGGAUCUGCGCCUACCAUGGUUGUAACGGGUAACGGGGAAUCAGGGUUCGAUUCCGGAGAGGGAGCCUGAGAAACGGCUACCACAUCCAAGGAAGGCAGCAGGCGCGCAAAUUACCCACUCCCGGCACGGGGAGGUAGUGACGAAAAAUAACGAUACGGGACUCAUCCGAGGCCCCGUAAUCGGAAUGAGUACACUUUAAAUCCUUUAACGAGGACCAAUUGGAGGGCAAGUCUGGUGCCAGCAGCCGCGGUAAUUCCAGCUCCAAUAGCGUAUAUUAAAGUUGUUGCGGUUAAAAAGCUCGUAGUUGAAUUUGUGUUCCGCACUGUCGGUUCACCGCCCGCGGUGCUAACUGGCAUGUUUGCGGAACGUCCUGCCGGUGGAUGUUCAGUAAGUGAUUUCGGUCAUUUACACAUCCGACUUUGUAAUCCUGUCGCGGUGCUCUUAACUGAGUGUCGAGGCGGGCCGGCACGUUUACUUUGAACAAAUUAGAGUGCUCAAAGCAGGCUAACUAAUGCCUGAAUAAUUAGUGCAUGGAAUAAUGAAACAGGACCUUGGUUCUAUUUUGUUGGUUUUCGGACCCCGAUGUAAUGAUUAAUAGGGACAGAUGGGGGCAUUCGUAUUGCGACGUU
RNAcentral lists this ribosomal RNA (935 nucleotides) under Nornalupia sp. NLG-2014. RNAcentral's name for it is "SSU rRNA". It matches the Rfam family "Eukaryotic small subunit ribosomal RNA", at positions 56 to 906 of the family's 1831-position model. Lineage: Eukaryota; Metazoa; Arthropoda; Insecta; Coleoptera; Carabidae. The record is from RNAcentral.